Molecule: ribosomal RNA, 1053 nt
Filed under: uncultured bacterium
Lineage: Bacteria
Description: bacterial SSU rRNA
Rfam family: Bacterial small subunit ribosomal RNA
Source: RNAcentral
CCUACGGGAGGCAGCAGUGAGGAAUUUUGGGCAAUGGGGGCAACCCUGACCCAGCGACGCCGCGUGCAGGAUGACGGCCCUUCGGGUUGUAAACUGCUUUCGGGUGAGAAGAAAAGCCGAUUUGAUCGGCUGGGACUGUACCACCAGAAGAAGCACCGGCUAACUACGUGCCAGCAGCCGCGGUAAUACGUAGGGUGCAAGCGUUAUCCGGAAUCACUGGGUGUAAAGGGUGUGUAGGCGGAUUUGUGCGUCAGAGGUUAAAUAUCCAGGCUCAACUUGGAAAAUGCCUUUGAUACGGCAAGUCUUGAGUAUAAGAGAGGAAGAUGGAAUUCCUGGUGUAGAAGUGAAAUUCGUAGAUAUCAGGAGGAACACCGGUGGCGAAGGCGGUCUUCUGGCUUAUUACUGACGCUGAGGCACGAAAGCGUGGGGAUCAAACAGGAUUAGAUACCCUGGUAGUCCACGCCCUAAACGAUGUAUGCUUGGUGUUAGCCACGUAAGUGGCUAGUGCCGGAGGUAACCCGUUAAGCAUACCACCUGGGGAGUACGAUCGCAAGGUUGAAACUCAAAGGAAUUGACGGGGGCCCGCACAAGCGGUGGAUCAUGUGGUUUAAUUCGAUGAUACGCGAGGAACCUUACCUGGGCUCGAACGUGGAAUGACAGUCGCGGAAACGUGAUCUUCUUCGGACACUCUACGAGGUGCUGCAUGGUUGUCGUCAGCUCGUGCCGUGAGGUGUCGGGUUAAGUCCCAUAACGAGCGCAACCCCUAUCUUUAGUUGCCAUCAGGUCGAGCUGGGGACUCUAAAGAAACUGCCUACGCAAGUAGUGAGGAAGGCGGGGAUGACGUCAAAUCAGCACGGCCCUUACGUCCAGGGCUACACACGUGCUACAAUGGCCGGUACAGAGGGCAGCUACUGGGUGACCAGAUGCAAAUCUCCAAAGCCGGUCUCAGUUCGGAUCGAAGUCUGAAACUCGACUUCGUGAAGUUGGAUUCGCUAGUAAUCGCGCAUCAGCCAUGGCGCGGUGAAUACGUUCCCGGGCCUUGUACACACCGCC